Molecule: long non-coding RNA, 5205 nt
Filed under: Mytilus galloprovincialis (Mediterranean mussel)
Lineage: Eukaryota; Metazoa; Mollusca; Bivalvia; Mytilida; Mytilidae
Source: RNAcentral
CGAUUUCACGUUAUAUUUAUACUGCUGUUAAAGGAUCGGAAAAAAGUCCUAUAAAAGAUGCAGAAAAGGGUAAACACUAAAAUGAAAAAUUGCAUAUUAACGACAAAAUAAAAAACAUACCUUUGUUUUAAACUAUCAGGCUUUGGUUCCACCUGGGAUUUAUAUAAAGGCUAUAACAAAUGAGUAGUGUGAGCAUGUUGAUAGUAAGAGUUUCCUCCUCAUAUUCAUGAUUAUAUGUUUACGCAGUUGUCCCCCAUCAUUAUCAUUCUUUUAUUACUUCCCUUAGUAAGGGGUAUAAAAAAAAUUUCGGGGCGGGGGGGGGGGGGGAUGCACUUGAUUAUUCGACAAUCAUGUGGCAUGCUUAAAAUAAAUCUGCCAAUCCCCCGUCAUGCUUAGACCCUAAUGAGACCCGCUUUAUAUUCAUAACCAUAUGAUUAAACAGUCAGGCUGUGAUGAUCGUCUGAUUAUCGCCCUUAUAGUAUUCAUUACCAUAUGAUUAAACAGUUAGUCUGUGAUGAUUGUCUGAAUAUUGCCGAGAUGAUUGUCUGAUCAUUGCCCUUGUUUAUCAUGAUCAUAUAUAUGACUAAACAGUUAGGCCAUGAUGAUUGUCUGAUUACUGCCCUUGUUUAUCAUGAUCAUAUAUAUGACUAAACAGUUAGGCCGUGAUGAUUGUCUGAUUAUUGCCUUUGUUUAUCAUGAUCAUAUAUAUGACUAAACAGUUAGGCCGUAAUGAUUGUCUGAUUAUUGCCCUUGUUUAUCAUGAUCAUAUAUAUGACUAAACAGUUAGGCCGUGAUGAUUGUCUGAUUAUUGCCAUUUUUUAUCAUGAUCAUAUAUAUGACUAAACAGUUAGGCCGUGAUGAUUGUCUGAUUAUUGCCCUUGUUUAUCAUGAUCAUAUAUAUGACUAAACAGUUAGGCCGUGAUGAUUGUCUAAUAAUUGCACUUGUUUAUCAUGAUGAUAUAUAUGAUUAAACAGUUAGGAUAUGAUGAUUGUUUGAUUAUUGCCUUUAAUAUUCAUUACCAUAUGAUUAAACAGUUAGGCUGUGAUGAUUGUCUGGAUAUUACCUUGAUAAUCAUAAUCGUAUGAUUAAACAGUUAGGCCAUGAUGAUCGCCUGAUUAUUGCACUUCAUAAUCAUGAUCAUAUGAUUAAACAGUUUGGCAAGUACAUGUAUGAUUGUUUGAUUAUUGCCCAUAAUAUUCAUGAUUAUCUGAUUACACAGUUUGACCGUGAUGAUCAUUUGAUUAUUUUCCUUACUAUUCAUGAUUAUCUAAUGUAAGGUUUGUUGCCCUUGAUAUUCACUAAGAACCAUAGAAAAAUACGUAUAUACCGUAUACUAUACUUAAACACAAUAGACAACAAAAUAAGCUUAUAUCCAAGAAUAAUAGACAAUAUAAAAAACCUAUUUCUAGCAACAAUAAACUAUACAUAUAGACUUAAACUAAAAACCAUAGACAAAACAUAUCAUGCAUAUAUCCCUUAUCUAAGAUCAAUAGAUAAUACAUAUAAACUUAACUUAAAAACCAUAGAAAAAACUUAUAGUGCAUAUAUCCUGUAUCUAAGAACCAUAGACAAUACAUUAAAACCUAACCUAAGAACCAGAACCAUAGACAAUACACAUAAAUUAACCUAUGAACCAUAGACUAUACAUAUAGACUCUACCAAAGAACUACAGACAAUACAUAUAGACUUAAGAGGGCCCUCAUGGGGUUUUUGAUUAUGUGAUUACUUGGCCGUGUUUUUAAUGAUUAUUUGAUUAUUAAGCCAAAUAUUUCAUGAUUAUUUGAUUACCUAGGACUGUAUUUUUAGUUUAUGAUUAUUUGAUUACUAAAGAUAAGCAAAUAUUUAAUGAUUAUGUGAUUAUAUUGGCAAAAAAAUGGUUAUUAUGUGAUUACUAGGACCCCCCCAUGAGGGGCCUCACUUAACCUAAGAACCACAGACAAUACUGAAACAACAGAACCAAGAAACCACAAGACAAUAUAGACUUAAGACCUAAGAACCACAGACAAUACAUAUAUACUGAACCUAAGAAACACAGACAAUACAUAUAGACUGAACCUAAGAACCACAGACAAUACAUAUAGACUGAACCUAAGAACCACAGACAACACAUAUAGACAGACCACAGACAUAUAGACUGAACCUAAGAACCACAGACAAUACAUAUAGACUGAACCUAAGAACCACAGACAAUACAUAUAGACUGAACCUAAGAACCACAGACAAUACAUAUAGACUUAACCUAAGAACCUAAAUACUAAACUAAGAACCACAGACAACAUACAUACAGACUGAACCUAAGAACCAUAAACAAUACUCUUAGACUAAACCUAAGAACCAUAGACAAUACACAUAAAUUAAACCUAAGAACCAUAGACUCUACAUAUAGACUCUACCUAAGAACCACAGUCAAUACAUACAGACUGAACCUAAGAACCACAGACAAUACAUAUAGACUAAACCUAAGGACCAUAGACAAUACACAUAAAUUAAACCUAAGAACCAUAGACUACACAUAUAGAUUCUUCCUUGGAACCACAGACAAUACAUAAAGACUGAACUUAAGAACCACAGACAAUACAUAUAGAUUCUUCUUAAGAACCACAGACAAUACAUAUAGACUAAACCUAAGAACCAUAGACAAUACAUAUAGACUAAACAUAAGAAUCAUAGACAAUACACAUAAAUUAAACCUAAGAACCUUAGACUAUACAUAUAGACUCUUCCUUAGAACCACAGACAAUACAUAUUGACUGAACCUAAGAACCACAGACAAUACAUAUAGAUUCUUCUUAAGAACCACAGACAAUACAUAUAGACUAAACCUAAGAACCAUAGACAAUACAUAUAGACUAAACAUAAGAAUCAUACACAAUACACAUAAAUUAAACCUAAGAACCAUAGACUAUACAUAUAGACUCUUCCUUAGAACCACAGACAAAACAUAUAGACUGAACCUAAGAACCACAGACAAUACAUAUAGACUAAACCUAAGAACCACAGACAAUACAUAUAGACUAAACCUAAGAACCACAGACAAUAACAUAUAGACUUAACCUAAGAAAUCAUAGACAAUACACAUAAAUUAAACCUAAGAACCAUAGACUAUACAUAUAGACUCUUCCUUAGAACCACAGACAAUACAUAUAGACUGAACCUAAGAACCACAGAUUAUACAUGUAGAUUUUUCUUAAGAACCACAGACAAUACAUAUAGACUAAACCUAAGAACCACAGACAAUACAUAUAGACUUAACCUAAGAAUCAUAGACAAUACACAUAAAUUAAACCUAAGAACCAUAGACUAUACAUAUAGACUGAACCUAAGAACCACAGAUUAUACAUGUAGAUUCUUCUUAAGAACCACAGACAAUACAUAUAGACUAAACCUAAGAACCAUAGACAAUGCAUAUAGACUAAACCUAAAAACAAUAGACAAUACUCUUAGACUAAACCUAAGAACCAUAGACAAUACACAUAAAUUAAACCUAAGAACCACAGACAAUACAUGUAGACUGAACCAAAGAACCACAGACAAUACAUAUUAACUAAACCUAACAACCACAGACAAUACAUAUAGACUGAACCUUUGAACCUAAGAACCACAUAAGUAUAUACUUAACCUAAGAACCACAGACAAUACAUAUAGACUAAACCUAAGAACCAUAGACAAUACAUAUAGACUUUUCCUUAGAACCACAGACAAUACAUAUAAACUCUUCCUAAGAACCACAGACAAUACACAUAAAUUAAACCUUAGAACCAAAGACUAUACAUAUAGACUCUUCCUUAGAACCACAUACAAUACAUAUAGACUGAACCUUAGAACCACAGACAAUACAUAUAGACUCUUCCUAAGAACCACAGACAAUAUAUAUGGACUGAACCUUAGAACCACAGACUAUUCAUAUAGACUCUACCUAAGAACCAUAGACAAUACAAGUAAAUCACAUAUUUAAACUUUUUAAGUAAUUAUGUAUGAAAACUUUUGUUGAACCACAAAGUUUAAUAUCCAUGUAAAUAUAAUGUUUCCAUUACCAAUAAUAUUUGUUACAUUGAUUUCAAUUAUUUUUCUGCCUUCAGAUUUCAAAGAGACUUGGUUCAUUAAUUCUCAGCUAACAGAUUCACAUUUUAAAGGAUUUGGACACACUCUGUAAGGUCACAUCAGAUGUAUUAGAUACUGGUAUGUAUAAAGACAAAAUCAAUAUUGUUUUAUGUUUGGACUUGGUAAGUGUUCCAUGCUUUAAUUUAUACCCCCAUCAUUUAAGGUUAAAAUUUUCCUUUUUCUCUACAAACCCAAAUGUUUUUGGACAAGAAACAUAGGUAAAGAAAUUAAAAGAUGUGCAGUGAUUGCCACUACAGACAAUACAUAUACACUGAUCCUAAGAACCACAAACAAUACAUAUAGACUAAACCUAAGAACCACAGACAAUACAUAUAGACUAAACCUAAGAACCAUAGACAAUUCACAUAAAUUAAACCUAAGAACCAUAGACUAUACAUAUAGACUCUACCUAAGAACCACAGACAAUACAUAUAGACUGAACCGAAGAACCACAGACAAUACAUAUAAACUAAACCUAAGAACCACAGACAAUACAUAUAGAUACUGAACCUAAGAACCACAGACAAUACAUAUAGACUAAACCUAAGAACCAUAGACAAUACAUAUAGACUCUUCCUUAGAACCACAGACAAUACAUAUAGACUGAACCUAAGAACCACAGACAAUACAUAUAGACUCUUCCUAAGAACCACAGACAAUACAUAUGGACUGAACCUUAGAACCACAGACAAUACAUAUAGACUAAACCUAAGAACCAUAGACAAUACAUGUAGCCUAUACAUAAGAACCACAGACAAUACAUAUAGACUAUAUCUAAGAACCAUAGACAAUACAUACAGACUGAACCUAAGAACCAUAGACUAUCCAUAUAGACUCUACCUAAGAAACAUAGACAAUACAUGUAAAUCACAUAUUUAAACUUUUUAAGUAAUUAUGUAUGAAAACUUUUGUUGAACCACAAAAUUUAAUAUCCAUGUAAAUAUAAUGUUUCCAUUACCAAUAAUAUUUGUUACAUUGAUUUCAAUUAUUUUUCUGUCUUCAGAUUUCCAAGAGACUUGGUUCAUUAAUUCUCAGCUAACAAAUUCACAUUUUAAAGGAUUUGGACACACUCUGUAAGGUCACAUCAGAUGUAUUAGACACUG